AGGAUGAACGCUGGCGGCGUGCCUAACACAUGCAAGUCGAACGUCCUGUCUCGCAAGAGGCAGGGAGUGGCGGACGGGUGAGUACCACGUGGGUCAUCUACCGUGAGGUGAGGAAUACCGGCGAGAAAUCGCCGACAAGACCGCAUAGGCUCGAUGCAAGUCGAGCAAAGCUCUUUCGAGAGAGGGAGCGCCACACGAGGAGCCUGCGCCCGAUUAGCUAGCUGGUGGAGUAACGGUUCACCAGGGCGACGAUCGGUAGCUGGUCUGAGAGGACGAUCAGCCACACUGGGAUUGAGAACGGCCCAGACUCCUACGGGGGCAGCAGUGAGGAAUUUUCGUCAAUGGGGGCAACCCUGAACGAGCAACGCCGCGUGCAGGAAGAAGGUUUCGGAUCGUAAACUGCUUUUCUCGGGAAGAGAACGGACGGUACCGAGGAAUCACGCCCGGCUAACUACGUGCCAGCAGCCGCGGU
This 472-nucleotide ribosomal RNA is filed under the name uncultured bacterium. RNAcentral describes it as "SSU rRNA". It matches the Rfam family "Bacterial small subunit ribosomal RNA", at positions 26 to 521 of the family's 1533-position model. The record is from RNAcentral.